ACAUUUGCGUCGGAAUUUUUUAUUUUUAGGUAUUCUAGAAUUUUGUAGAAAAUUUCAAAAAUUGGCAUUUUCACCACUUUUUAAGGGGUGCGGAACGAAAAUGGUAACUCUAGAAGAGGUGAAAUUAAUUUUCACCUCUUCAAAAAAAAAAAGAAAAAAACGUUAUACUGGUAGCCCUAUCAUCAGCUGUUGUUUACUUUUCGAAAUGUCAAAAAGUUCAGUCGCAAAAGAAAUCCGGGAGUAUUUCUGAUUUUUAAUCAAACAUGUUCGAUUCGUUCCGAUGCAUUUUUAUGUGGAUGGUUAUUCCAGUAUGCAGAUACACAUCAGGACAUAAUCAUCACCCGGACCUAAUACGAGCUGGAGGAGAAAUGAGCCGAGAAGAUAUCUCUUGAACUAUACAACCUUGAAACUGGAAGAAUUAUGCUAUACCAGGACCAAAUAGAGCAUCCAUCAUGCCAUCAGCUCCAGAUUCAUGCAGCUCCGGUGGCUAACCAAUAUCACGAAUUGUGCCCGCAUUCGGCUUAGACGGUAGUGACCCGAUAUUCCGAUAAGUUCCAGCAUUAGAAAACGAUGAUCUAGCUAGACGGCUGGGAACGGUACGUCUAGGGAGAACUCCAGCAACGGUACAACCCCGAAGCACACGAGGAGAACAGUCAAAUCCAGACAGUCGCUGUACUCAAGCCUAAGGAAAACUUGCAAUAACCUGCGACGUCCAAGGGUGCUGUUAACACUUCAUGCAUAUCUUCACAAACGGAAAACUGACGUCAAUCCGUCAAUGUAAAAUUCAAUCUCUGAGAUUAUUCCAAAUUUUAAGUUAAUCCAAAAAAUCAAACUUUCUCAGAUAUUUGUUUUAGCAUUCCUGCCAUUCAUGUAGCAAGAAUAUGUCCAGGCAUUGUUUAAAGGAUUUUUCUAUAAAUUAAUUCAAAGAAACUUCUGGGUAAUUAUCAAGAUUCUCAAAGAGCUUCAACAGAUAUUCCUUCCAAAGUUCAUCCAAGAGCUAUUCGGGGAAUUUACCACGAUUUCUGUUCAUUAAAUUUAUUCAGGAUUUUCUGCGAAAUUGUACCAGUGAUUGUUUAAUGCAUUUCCGUAAAGGUUUUCCCAGGAAUUGAUCUAAACAUUCAUCCAAAAACUUCUCAACGCGUUCUUCUCAAUUCAUUCCGAGAACUCUUUACGAAAUUUGUCAAAAAUCUCUUAAAUAAUUUCUGGCUAAAUCCGUGCAAACAUAUCUGCAGGGCUGGUAGCAGAUCUCUUUUGAAAAAGUUGGCAUCUAUUUUAAUGAAGCCUCAAAAAAGUCAAUAUUUUGAAUG
Aedes aegypti (yellow fever mosquito) is the source of this 1307-nucleotide long non-coding RNA. RefSeq lists it as uncharacterized. NCBI's taxonomy places the organism in Eukaryota, Metazoa, Arthropoda, Insecta, Diptera, Culicidae. The transcript has 2 exons. The record is from RefSeq and is a predicted model, not a curated record.